UGGUUAUAUCUGUUUGGGCUUCCAAACACCU
This 31-nucleotide non-coding RNA is filed under the name Rattus norvegicus (Norway rat). The record is from RNAcentral. Lineage: Eukaryota; Metazoa; Chordata; Mammalia; Rodentia; Muridae.